UGUGGGAACAAGGUGACAGAAACUUUCAAAAUCGCACUUUUAGGCACAUUUUGCAUUUGCUUUUAGGGAAAUGAUGUACAGCCAUGCACUCUCCCCACCAACGAUUAUCAAAACAAACACCUAACCAUUGUCUUCAAUUUUGCGGGGGAGUGAAACAAAUGCGAAUCAAUCGAGUACGAGGGAAAAAGUUUUGCGAGCGUUUCGCAAAUAUUUAACCUCACAUAUUGGACUAGAGCGGGAGCGCGGGAGAAAAAGAUGGGGGAGAGAGAGUGAGUGAGAGAGAGAGAGAGCAGGAUAGCGAAUGAGAGCAGAGGCAAGACUAGCAAGACAACAAUGUGGGAAAGGGGGGGAAAGUGGACACUUGGACGUUAAAAGAACAAGAAGCAGCCGCCGAAGGUAGCGUGAAGGUACUGCCAAAACAUGAUUUUUCGUUGCAGGACGAGUGCUUAAACCCAGCGGAGCAGAUCCUGACGUAGGUGCUGCGGACCUGCUUCAUGACCUGGAGUCGUGGGCAAACUUUACUCACAAGCCAAGGGACCUCAAUGUUUGCGGACGCCAAUGGCGCUACAGGAAACUGCUACCUGAAAACGUUAACGUCGUUCGCCGGAAGGAGACAUAAGAAAGUUCAUGUACACCUAUAACAUGGAAUACAUGCUGUGUAAUUCCAAAUCCAACAUCGAGCACGCAUUUAUGUUUAAAUUUGCAGCUCAAAUCCAUGGACGGCAACAUUAUGUCCUGUUCAAAUCGUCAAUCGUUUUCUCAACUCAGAGUUAUUAUAAUUGAGUGUUUUGUGACAUUUUUAGUAGCAGCGGAUCACCUAUAAUUUCUAAUGCGAUUUCCCAUAGAUACUUGUUGCUCUGAAAUGGUUAAAAUGUGGCGAGAUGAUGGUGAAACCCAUGAAAUGCUAUAAAGCGCUUGGCUCACAGCCGCAAAGCACAGGCCAGUAAAUGAAACCCUAAUAACUCCCUUUAUUACUUUUAUUAAAUACAAUAAGCGCUAUUUGUUCCUGCUACAGCAAUUAUGACUAAUGCAUUUUAUUAUGAUGUUUAUCUGUUUUUUUCUUCUUUUUUUGCGGAAUUCACCCUUUUAUGUAAGUAAGGUAAGUCUCGAUGUCAUAAUGAGUCCGUGAUGUUUGAAUGCGUUUCCUCAGUAAUGACCACGGCUAACAUCCUCUCCAAGAAUGCAAGGUGUAAAAACACUCCCCCCUCCCCAGAGAUGUGAGUGGCAGUUCCCUCACAUUAGGUAAGAGGGCAGGUGGAAAAGUCCCCCCCCCCCCCAGUAGUCUACAUCACUUAUUCAUGGCUUCCCAUAGCACAGUCCUGACCCCUUUGUUACGCAUCCAUGUUCUUGCUGAGUGAGACCCAGAAAGUGCUUAUAGAAAGCGACACCAGCUCGCUCCUGGAAGCUCACUAGAUGCUAGAACAUUCCGUUUCGACUUCCCUUUAACAGGGAGUAGGAGUUUUACCUCUGUGCCAUCCGUAUAUCUCUGUUACUCACACUAUAGGCUUCCCGGAGAGGGGGCAGGCGGCUUCCACAGGUACUGUUGUCUGCCUGCACGGAUGUGCCCCACGCGGCACGCGGGUAUAUUUGGCGUCUUGUCCUUGACCUCACACAUCUAAAUGGGUUAAAGUGGCGCGUGGGAACGCUCCACAAAACAGGGCCACAACUGUCUCCGAAUCAUCGGGAAAUUAUAGCCCGGAUACUUCCAGUUGUAUCCCAGACUCCCAACCUCCUUCAAUUCUUAAUUAAUUAAUGUCAUUAUUACAUCAUUAAUACAACUACUGCUACUACUACUAAUACCUAAUAAUAACAUAUUUAAAGGCUUCCAUUACAGUUACCCUGACACCUUUCCCUCUUAGUGAUACUGCGGUAGAUAUAUGUCUCUUGUUUUACUACUUUUUCCAUCGUACUAUAUUCUCCCCGGUUCCUCCGUAGGCAGCCUCUGCCUCCCCCCCCCCCCCCCGGGGAAGCUGCUCCCGGCCGCCUCCUGAUUUGCUUCGUAAAAGCAGAACCGAAUGAUGGAUUACUGUGUCAUUGCCGGCCCGCCAAGGAUUAAUUUGUUUCAUUGAUUUCUCUUUAGGCGGAGCGCCAGCGGUUGCAGCUUCCUACCCCCAAUCCCCCUUAUUUAUUUAUUUACGGGAGACUUCCAGACGUGAUGGAAAGUAAUAGCAGGAGACAAAUCAAGCGGCUCUCGUAAAAUCGGCAGCAAACAAUCCUGGCCGUUGCGGGCAGACCCCCAGCCGGUGGCUGCGCCCUCGCCCCCCUCCCUUAGGAUGGCGUUAACGCGGGAUAAAAUGGAGCAGCGAGCCGCAGAGCACCGGCCGCUCUCUGCCAAACGCAUCUGCGCUCCCCCCGCGAUCAUGCACUUUAGUCGUCGUUCUCUUUCUACUCCGCCUAGUUACAUUUGCCCUAGGUUUGGCGAAAGAGGGUAUUUCGAGGAUUCCGGCGUUACUUUCAAAGGCAUUCAGUACGUAUGUGAUGUAAUGAGUGUGGGAUUUCAUGACCCUUGUGUAAACAUCAUGUCCUGUCGGAAAGCAUCUCUUUGCUGUGACAGAUACAUGCAGCUGAACGAAAUUUAACUUUUCACAAACGCACUUUUGUGUUCCAGUCAGCAUACAGCACAAUAAAUGCUUUGGAAAGUGA
Brienomyrus brachyistius is the source of this 2643-nucleotide long non-coding RNA. RefSeq lists it as uncharacterized. Lineage: Eukaryota; Metazoa; Chordata; Actinopteri; Osteoglossiformes; Mormyridae. The transcript is spliced from 2 exons. The record is from RefSeq and is a predicted model, not a curated record.